CUAGUUGGUUGAAUGAUAGCUUUUAACUCAUGUUAAAAGAGGAAAGUCUGGGCUCCAUAGGAGAAAGUACCAGGUAAUACCUGGCAAGAGUAAUCUUAGGGAUAGUGCCACAGAAAAUAAACCGCCUAAUCAAGGCAAGGGUGAAAAGGUGAGGUAAGAGCUUACCGGUUUUUUAGUAAUAGAAAACGCAUGGAAAACCCUACUUGGAGCAAGACCAAAUAGGAGUAGCGCGAUUAACUUUGUUAAUCAAAUUUCCUAAAUGAGCUACUCGGGUUGGUUGCUUGAGCUGUUUGGUGACAAACAGUCUAGAUAAAUUAUCAUUUUAAAUGACAAAACCCAGCUUACAGAUCAACUAGCAAA
RNAcentral lists this RNase P RNA (360 nucleotides) under alpha proteobacterium QL1. Its description in RNAcentral is "bacterial RNase P". It matches the Rfam family "Bacterial RNase P class A". Rfam says of the family: Ribonuclease P (RNase P) is a ubiquitous endoribonuclease, found in archaea, bacteria and eukarya as well as chloroplasts and mitochondria. The record is from RNAcentral. Lineage: Bacteria; Pseudomonadati; Pseudomonadota; Alphaproteobacteria; Candidatus Pelagibacterales; Candidatus Pelagibacteraceae.